This 253-nucleotide ribosomal RNA is filed under the name uncultured bacterium. RNAcentral describes it as "partial 16S ribosomal RNA". It matches the Rfam family "Bacterial small subunit ribosomal RNA", at positions 524 to 776 of the family's 1533-position model. The record is from RNAcentral.
UACGGAGGGUGCGAGCGUUAUUCGGAAUUACUGGGCGUAAAGCGCGUGUAGGCGGGAAGGCAAGUCUGAUGUGAAAGCCCCGGGCUUAACCUGGGAAGUGCAUUGGAAACUGCCAUUCUUGAGUGCUGGAGAGGAAGGGGGAAUUCCCGGUGUAGAGGUGAAAUUCGUAGAGAUCGGGAGGAAUACCAGUGGCGAAGGCGCCCUUCUGGUCGGCAACUGGCGCUGAGACGCGAAAGCGUGGGGAGCAAACAGG